Molecule: transfer RNA, 72 nt
Filed under: Haematomyzus elephantis (elephant louse)
Lineage: Eukaryota; Metazoa; Arthropoda; Insecta; Psocodea; Haematomyzidae
Description: tRNA-Ala
Source: RNAcentral
AGGGGUUUAGUUUAUUCACAUAAAACUGUUCGAUUGCACCGAAUCAAAGUCACUGAAUUGUGACAACCCUUA